Molecule: ribosomal RNA, 380 nt
Filed under: Opilio parietinus
Lineage: Eukaryota; Metazoa; Arthropoda; Arachnida; Opiliones; Phalangiidae
Also listed under: 1 other name
Description: partial 16S ribosomal RNA
Rfam family: Bacterial large subunit ribosomal RNA
Source: RNAcentral
UGCUUUAUGAAAGAAUAUAAGGUAUAACCUGCUCAAUGAAAAUAAAUAGCUGCAGUAUUCUGUACUAAGGUAGCAUAAUCACUUGGCAUUUUAUUGAUGUCUAGAAUGAAAGGUCUAAUGAAUUUGUAAUUUUCUUCUUAUUAUCUAUUUAAAUUAAUUUAUUAGUAAAAAAGCUAAUAUAUCUUUUAGGGACGAGAAGACCCUAUAAAGCUAAAAGUCUGAGAAUCUUGAGAUAUUUAUGACUUUGAUUGGGGCAAUCCAUUAAGAUUUUAGCUUAAUUUUUGAGCCAAGAAUCUUGAUUAAUAAGAAAGUUACUUUAGGGAUAACAGCAUAAUAAGAAAAAAAGAGUUCCUAUCUUUUUAUCUGAUUAUGACCUCGAU